This 498-nucleotide ribosomal RNA is filed under the name uncultured KB1 group bacterium. RNAcentral describes it as "bacterial SSU rRNA". It matches the Rfam family "Bacterial small subunit ribosomal RNA", at positions 922 to 1408 of the family's 1533-position model. Lineage: Bacteria; Candidatus Calescibacteriota. The record is from RNAcentral.
CACACAACCGGUGGAGCACGUGGUUUAAUUCGACGAUAGCGAAGAACCUUACCAGGGCUUGACCUAGCGGUAGUAGGACUCUGAAAGGGGAACGACCUCAAGCUUUUGCUUGAGGAGCCGUGGCAGGUAUUGCAUGGCUGUCGUCAGCUCGUGUCGUGGGACGUUGGGUUAAGUCCCGUAACGAGCGCAACCCCUGCCCUUAAUUGCCAGCGGGUAAUGCCGGGGACUAUAAGGGGACUGCCGGAGAAUAUCCGGAGGAAGGAGGGGAUGACGUCAAGUCAUUAUGAUCCUUAUGCUCUGGGCGACACACGUGCUACAAUGGCCACUACAGUGAGGAGCCAAUCCGCAAGGACGAGCAAAUCUCAAAAAGGUGGCCUCAGUGCGGAUUGGGGUCUGCAACCCGACCCCAUGAAGAUGGAAUCGGUAGUAAUCGCGGGUCAGCCACACCGCGGUGAAUAUGUACUUGGGCCUUGUACACACCGCCCGUCACACCAACCG